Molecule: long non-coding RNA, 1763 nt
Organism: Lagenorhynchus albirostris (white-beaked dolphin)
Lineage: Eukaryota; Metazoa; Chordata; Mammalia; Artiodactyla; Delphinidae
Exons: 2
Source: RefSeq, a predicted model, not a curated record
CCUAUCCUCUGGCUUAGUUCUCUCCUUAAGCAGGUUCAAGGCCCGUGGCCGUUCCCUCGUCUGGUAAAGCGGAUGGUGCGAGGUGUGGGGGGUGGAUUAGGCAGGUUGGGGUGGUGCCUGGAGCUUAGUCAGUGCUCCGUAAGGAGGGGGCCAGCUGCUGUCAGUUCUCUGCCUGCGUCCAGCCUGCAGGGCUUUAGGGACUGUGCCCUUAACCCUCUGUUUGGUUACCACGGGCACUGUAUCCGUGGAGGGCCUCAGCAGGAUGCGGUGCUGUCAGGCGUGGAUGCGUCCUCUGUCGCUGUCAGGCCAGCAGGUGCUGCUGUCCGGGAAGGGAGUGGUCGACUGUCCCCAGGGCCACUGUGCCCACCUCCCCUGGGCAGAUGGCCAGGGGGCCGCCUUCAGCCUCAGGGCAGCGCCCACUCCCAGCACUUUGGCUUCUUGGUCCGGGCAGGCCGCCUGUUCUGUGUGAGAAGACCACGCUCCUCCUUGCGGUCGCCGUGCGGCAGGCCCUCUGCUGUCCUGACGCCCAGCCCAAUGCUGCCCUGAACGGGCUGUGUGACCCGAAGCCAAUCGCUUCACCUCUCUGGUCUCAGUGUCCUCGUUGUCAGAACGGAACUAACAAUGCUCGUGGCUGAGGGGCGCGUUGUCAGGUGAGACGAGGAGGUGAAGAACCGUAGAACUGUACGCAGGGCGCUCAUCCCCCCAAGUCUCUAUUCUGCCCAAUCUUUGUCCCCCCCCCAAGCACCCGUGACCUGGCGACGCUCCCUGCCCUCAGCACAGCCUUUCAGCACGUUUGGCCGCCUCUGCCGACCGUGAAGCUGGAUGGGCCCCUGGGGCAUAAGAAGCAUGAACUUCUGUUGGACUGAGAGUUUCCUGAAGCAGGGCCAGCUCUGUUCCUCUCUGAGGUGCCCCCUUCCUCUCCCGCAGAGCCGAGCCUGCAACAAGUGCCCGGCACACAGACGUGUGGGACAGACGUACAGACGGACGUGGGUGAGGAGCUGGCCCCUCUCUCCUGAUGCCCCGUUUAUUUUGUGUCAUGUAAGGACAUUGUUUCUGAAACUGUCGCUCAGAGAUCUAAAUUUAGACUUCCCAGGAGCCCUUCUGCCAGGAAUGGGUCUGAAGUAGAGUCCUCAAGGCUUGCCUUUCUUGGUCUCUCAGAGGCACCACCAGAUAGCCAAGUCGGGGCAGCGUUCAGCUCGGAGUCUUGGAGGAGUUUCUGGUUGAGCGCGGACGGCUUGUACCACCACCCGGCUGCCUGGGAGGCCUCGCGCCCCGGUGAUCCCGCAGGCUAGCCGGGAAUCCCGCGGCCGCGCCCCCCAUGUGCGUGCUUCCUAGCCUACCUGUCCUGCCCUCCUGGCCCUCAGGGCCGCCUAGAUGCUCGUCUCAAGGACUGCCGAUGACACGGCAGCUCAGAUGCGCUUCUCGUAUCUGGAGUUGAGAACUAAGGAGGUUUCUCUGCCAACACCUCGCAGAAAAGGUACUUCCACAAAAGAGUGACUGGUGGAAACCGAAGACGUCUGCAGAAAAGAGAAGAUCUAUAAACCGGAGAGCCUGACCCUCCCCUGCAUCUCUGGGCAUCAUCAGUGCAGGCAGGGGAUGAGCCUGUGCCUUCCACAGCAUGUAGGCUGGACCAGUGGGUCCCAAAAGGUGAUCUUCAGACCAGUGGGCUCAGCAUCCCCUGACGUAUUCGUUAUCUGUUAUGUGUAACAACUUGCCCCCAAACUUGGUGGCUUCAAGCACCAAUAAAUCUUUCUUAUUUCUCA